UACGUAGGGUGCAAGCGUUGUCCGGAAUUAUUGGGCGUAAAGAGCUCGUAGGCGGUCUGUCGCGUCUGCUGUGAAAACUCGGGGCUCAACCCCGAGCCUGCAGUCGAUACGGGCAAACUAGAGUGCUGUAGGGGAGACUGGAAUUCCUGGUGUAGCGGUGAAAUGCGCAGAUAUCAGGAGGAACACCGGUGGCGAAGGCGGGUCUCUGGGCCGAUACUGACGCUGAGGAGCGAAAGCGUGGGUAGCAAACAGG
This 253-nucleotide ribosomal RNA is filed under the name uncultured bacterium. RNAcentral describes it as "partial 16S ribosomal RNA". It matches the Rfam family "Bacterial small subunit ribosomal RNA", at positions 524 to 776 of the family's 1533-position model. The record is from RNAcentral.